This 31410-nucleotide long non-coding RNA is filed under the name Cicer arietinum (chickpea). RNAcentral's name for it is "long non-coding RNA (CARI_LNC002172)". The record is from RNAcentral. Lineage: Eukaryota; Viridiplantae; Streptophyta; Magnoliopsida; Fabales; Fabaceae.
GAGUUGACGACGGAUUCGGCAGAGUCGAAGAAAGGUUCGACGGGGACACGUUCGUGACGGCGGGCGAGGGGGUUGGCGGAGUGGAUAUCAGAAUCGCACGUGACGCAGAGAGCAGCGGCGUCAGCUUUGCACGUGACGGAUGCAGGUGCUUGUUCGCAUACCUCACACAUCCACACGCGCUCGUGGCGCGAAGACAGCUUGUUAGCACAGUGAAUCCUGGAAUCGCAAUUGAUACAUAGAAACGCGGAAUGAGAACGGCAAAAAAGCGCGGCAGAAGACAGUUUGCAAGAAUCGCAUAGCUUAGGUGGCACACUCCAGCCGCUUCUAAAACCCUUGAGUCCACCUCCUCCUCCUCUUUCGAUACCCAUCUUCCCACUAAGAAAAUCACUUAUAUGUUAUAAACACGCUUUUGUUUGUUAAAAGUAGCUUAUUAGGAAUAGGCGUUAUAAUAGUAGUGGAGGGAUUGGCAAUAAUGUUGUUUGAAGUUGGGUGAGUAUGAUUUCUUUGGGUGCGGUUUUUCUAUUAUCUAUAGUCAAGCAACUGGUCAUAGAGAGAAAAUCUAGGUGAUGACGAAUGACAAGGUGACACGUGGGUGUAUAUUGGCCAUGUAAAUCUAAAUAGAGAUAUAUCUAUUAGGGAGUUGUAGUUGUCAUCGUGUUUUGUCUCUGCCGACGUGGGACCUCCACGGACAUUAGAUCCAAUCACCUUCUUAUUAUCAUUAUUAUAAUUUCAAAAGAAAUUAGACACUAAAUUAAUCUGGAAAGGCACCCGGAUAAGUCCAAAAAUAUUUAUACUGUUAAAUUGAAUAUUAUAUUAAAUAUUAUGUUUUAAAUUUGAGUUCGAUAUUUUAUAAUUGUCUAUAUAUUUUUUUUAUUAUUUUAUUUAUGGAUAAGAAAAAAAUUUGAAGGGCACAAGAAUAAAUCCAUCUCUUUAUUUUUGUAAACAAAAAAAUUUUAUUUUGAUUGGAAUUCAAACUCAGUAUAUUGAACUUGAAUUUGAGAUGGAUAUUAGUUUAAUGUUCUUAGAUUCAUCUUUCUAUAGUUUAAAGUAUUUUUUUUGCAUCUACAUCAUAUUCAGGUACAUAUCCAUUGUCAUGUAAUCAUAAUUUGAACAUCACACGAUCAAUCAUUCAACAGUUUAAGAGACUCAGAAUACAUAUCAUCAUUCAAUAAGGAGUCCCCUUUAAAAUCUUACUAGUUUAUGGUGCAUGAUAUACAAUGCAUUUAUUUCAUAAUACCUCUCAUUCUCUAUAACUUUUACUGAUCUGGACGUCAUAGUUUUGCUGCACACCCAUUGAGUCAAUAUAACUAUGUUGUUGCAAUCCAACUCUAGCCAUCAUUGAAGUUUUGCUCCUAAUCAAACUUCAUCUCUUAUCUUGUAAUAGCAAUUGCAAUUAUAAAAUGGGUCAAUCUUCUCCUAUUUUGUCUCGUUUUACCAUUAAUAUUGUUUAAAAAUAGAGCAAUUAUAAUGAAAUUCUCACUUUAUACUCCCUCUCCAUUCUUUUCUUGACGAGUUAUCAAAGUUAAUUGUUUAAUAUGCCAAUAAUAAAAAUUAAAUUAACGUAAUAAUUUUUAGGCGAAUUGAUUUAUCAAAAACAAAAUAAAAAAUUCAAAUAUAAUCCACUAAACUUCAAUAUAAUUCAACAGCUAUCAUGUAAGAAAUUAAACUUAAUAAGGGUCUUUGGACACUUGUUAGUAUAUCUUAUUUGUUAUUAUUUUGUUGAUAUGACAUUAAUUAAAUCACCCUGUAUCACCAUAUAAAUUAGGAUUAUUAAAUUCUACUUUCAACAAUCAUAAAAGGAUAUAAACAAAAGUCAAAAUUCAAUUUACAUCCUCAUUAUAUUUCUUUUUUUAAUAAUUUUUAUUAAUACUUUAUUCUUGUUAACAUUAACUAUUUUAAAAAUAGUAAUGAGUAUAAUAUUUUUGAUAGAUGAUACCAAAAAAUAAAUAAACACUUUUUUUAAUUUUUUAAUAAAGGUGGAUAAUCCAAUGUAGUAGUCCACUACAUACUAAUAUUUAAAUAUCGUUCGUUCUUCAAAAACAUAAAUUAAUCAAUUUGAUGAAUAUUAGAAAGAAAAAAAUAUAUAUCCACCUCAAAAUUCUGUUUGUGCAAUCAACGUGGCUUCAAUAAACAUUUCCUCUGUCACUCACACAGAUCCAAAUAUUAAUUAGGAGACACAAUUGAGAAGAGGCGACACGCUCAAGCUGGCACUGAGAGCUAUCAACUUGCUCACAUGGGAUAAAACGAAAGGGUGUAAAAAUAAUUAAAUAAUUCAUUUAUUUUAAUCAUUGGAUUUUAAAAGUUUUUGCAAAAAGUAUAUUAAUUUUAUGGUUUAAUUGCGGUUUUGCAAAAAGCUAAAUCGCGAAAGUAGUGUCUCAUUUUGUUUCUUCCCUGUUUUGGUCACCAAACAAAAUUGUAGUCUAAAAUUUGAUUAAAUUUCAUUUUUUAAAGUCGUACUACACCAUUUAUGAUCAUAUAUUUCAGAUACAAUUAUUGCAAAUGAAAUCUUGAGGCAUGAUGUGACUUAAAUAAAUGCAAAAAAAUGAAAUUUCAUAAAGUUUUGGACCAAAAUUCUGUUUGGGGACCAAAACUGGAGAAAAACAAAAUGGAGAGAUUACUUUCGCAAUUCAGCUAAAAUAGGGAAACCAAAACUGCAAUUAAACCUAAUUUUAUUUAUAUUGAAAACAUGUAAAAGUUAUGCGAAAAAAGCGUUUCUCAACAUGAAAUAUUAAGUGGCGGGAAAUAUUUUUCUAUUUAGUGUUUUUUUUAGAUAAGCUUCUAUUUAGUGUUUAAAGGUUUUAAUUAUGUAAUAAAAUAAUUUGAUAAUAGUUUAAUAUUUUGUUUUUGUUAAGAUGCCAUGCACGCCACGCUAAAAAUGAAGAUAUUAAACUUCGAGAAUUUUGGCAAAAAAAUCUGUACCAGAAUAUAAAACACAUUUGAGAGUUUGUCUUAAAAUUAAAUGAUGAAUUUUUAUAAGUAUGAGUCAGGAAUUGAAUUCCUUACUACAUGUUGGAGGGAUUUUUGGGUACAACAUGCUGGAGGGUUCUAAUUAAAUUGGUUGCCGAACCAUGUGCUUGAUAUUUAGUUUGUUCAAUAUUAAUUGUUUUUUAAAUUGAUGAUUCAAUUUAAAUAAGUUGUUCAUAAAAUUAAUAUGAAAUCUUCUGUCAUUCUCCCAAAAUAUCCUUCAAAGAUGGCUUUUGACUCAUUUAGUUAUCUUACUUUCAAGAAGAACUCUUUUACAGAUUUUAUGAGCUAACACUUUUAGAUGCACUCUUCUCUAUAAAUGAAAUAUUUUGUUAUUUUGAAGCCAAAUAGGAUUAAAUUAGUCCGGGUUGGCUUUGUUUUAGGUCCACAAUAAGUAUACUAAUUAAAAAUAUUGAUUUGGUUUAGUUCAAUUUUUUUUAUUUUUUUAUGGACAUAAUUUUGCAAUUUUUUUUUUGUUUGCAUAAUUGAAACUAAAUUAAUAUGACACACAACAAGAUCGUUUAAUUUGAUUAUAGAAAGAAGUUAAAGGAUGAAAUUGUGAUUUAAAAUUAAAUUAAACAUCAACCACAAGAAUAAUUGUCUUAAUUUUUUCUUCAUUUAUUUUUUCUUGUCCAAACCAAGGAUUUGGGUAGGCAAGUUAAUAUUCAAAACUUUUUAACUUGUUAGGUAUGCGGUGUCUUCAUUUCAGCCAGAAAUAGAUAAAUUAAUUAAUUUGAAAGACGGUUCUGACUUGUGAGCAUUUGGUGAUGAUAUCUUAUUCUUAAUAUAUUCACUUCUUUUUUUAGUAAAUUAAUAUAUAUUCACUUCUAAGUUAAUGGGUAUAUAUAUUAUUAGAUUAUAUUAUGUCGAGACAAGAAUGGUGGGCUAGUUUAGUCCACUUUCAGAGUUUCUUGGACGGUGGCAAUAAGGCACAGUGAAAAGGAAAGUAUGUAUAAAACGACAAAAGACAGAGGAAACUUGGUGGCAAAUGCCUCACGAUUUGGAGUGUGAUUGGUUGAAAGUUGAAAGGAGAGACCCAAAAAGGCUGCACUGGUCUUGUUGUGACAACCUCGAUUUUGCUCUUCCCUUCCUGAAAGGGCAUACCCUUUCGGCAUUAAUGAAUCUAUAAAUAAGGUUUCAAUUAUUUGAUCUUGACUACAGUAAGAAAUAACAUAAAAUUAAGUUGACAAAUAGGAUUUCUAAAGGCUAAAUUAAUUAACUUCGUCAAAAAAAGAGCAAAAAUUAAUUAAGGGAUAACUUGCAAACAAAUCUAACACUAGCUACGUCCUGCAACAAAAUAGGCAUACAGCCCGAAUUCUUAAAUACACUGCAUGCAUAGACUUAAAUCAUUUUUUAAAAUUCUUUUUUGUACAGAUUCUCAGUUGAUGGCACUUCCAUUAGAGAGUUCAAGAACUCAGAAACUAUUGGUGUCCCUUUCCCAAAUAAGCAGCCAAUGAGAAUAUAUUCAAGUUUAUGGAAUAUAUAUGACUAGCAACAAGAGGUGGACUUGUUAAAAAGAGAUAGGACACAAGCUCCAUUCACAGCAUCCUACAGAAAUUUUAAUGCCGAGGCUUGCAUCUAGUCUUCUGGAGCAACAUCUUUUGAUUCAAGUUCUGCUUCGAAUGCUUCCUCCAAAGGUUCCUGGCUUUCACAGGAGCUGGAUGCCAUGGGCCAAGGGAGGUGGACAUGGGUGCAGAAGAAUUACAUGAUAUACAAUUACUGCAACGAUUUCCACAUGAUUUACCUCCAGAAGUGGAUUAACGGUGAGUUUGGUGAAAAUACACUGGCCCUGUAAUUUUAUUGAAGCUUCAAAGUAUAGCUUUUACCAUAACUACAUGGAUACACCAUGAUUCUGCCAAAUCCCACGGUCAAUCUAAACAUACACUUAGAAGAUUAAUGUAAGAUAAUCAUCGUCAAAUUCUUAGAAUAACGAGGUUAUAGAAACCAGAAGAGGACAUUAACAAGGCUCACUCAAUAAGAAGAUGAAGUACCCUCAUAAAAAAAUGACGUCUCCACGUGAAAGUCACAAAGAUGACACUUACAAUUGAAGGGUUGUCACUAUAUCAUAAUCCAAUCUUUCUUGAAUUGAGAUUAUCUCGAUGCAGAGUGACUUUCCAGCAAUCAACUGGGAAUACAAACACAGAACCCUUCUUCAGAACAGCUACGUGUUGACAAAUGAAAGUAUUUGGUAAACACAAGUUUGAAAAGGAUACAUUACAGAAAAAAGAGAUACCAGAACAGAUAAAUCAUCAAAACUUCAACUUUCGCAUACGUAUCAUGGAAUUUGUAGUGCUGAAGGUUCCUAAUUCUUAAUCAACUCAUCCCCAGUAUUAUAGGAGUUACAUCCCCAAACGGAAGUGCAAACUCCCUAUACUCCCUGUGUCUCUAAUUAUAAGCACCAAUUGAAAAAUUUAUUUGUCUCUAAAUGUAAGUCCCUAUACAAAUUACUAGAAGUUAUUAUUCUUUUUCCAAAUCUAUCCCUAUUAUAACUUCUAAUUUAUCUUGGAAUAUGAAAAGUAAACAUUAAAUACAUUUAUACAUAAUGGGCAAUUUAGUAAUAACUACAAACAUAAUAUACAUUAAUUACAUCAAUCACUUUUCUUAAUAUAUGUGAAACAUCCAAAAAGUGCUUAUAAAAAGGGACGGAGAGAGUAAUUCAUUAACUAUACAUUUGCACAGCAAUCACUGGUAACAUUAAAGAUAAGCAUACACAAACAGCUUCGAUAUUAAUAUUAGCAUUAUUACUAGAGAAAUAUAGGAAUAACAGCUCUGGUAAUGGUAUAACAGUUUCUAUUUUUAUAGAGUGAAAGGAUUACCUCGGAAUUUAUUUUCUUCAGUAACUAUCCCAAAAGCUUUGCCAGUUUCGCGAAUCAUGAUGCCACCGAUUCCAACAUAAUAGGUUAGUUUACUCUCCACAACUACAAAACAUAGAUUAUUUAAGAAGAAUACCAAAAGUCCAAUCUUUUUUCUAAAUUGAAAAGACAGUGCAUGUUGAGUAAUCUACAAGGAGUUCAGAUAUAGAAAAAUUUCAACAUGAUAACAUUAAACUAAAACAACAUUCGCCAUAGAAAUGCGUUUUAAAAAAUUUGAUUCAUUUACGCGCCUAAACAUUCACCAUAAUUUACUAGCAACUUUAAAAAAAAUUCAAAUGUAAUGACUAUGAAAAAGGUUAUGCAUGCCAGUGGGGAUGGAAAGGGAGAAUUGAAGUGGGAAACUUUCCCAGAGAAGACCUGGGCACCAGGUCUGACCUGAACCAACCAGAAGCUCAUCUUUACUAUUGGACUUAUUGCAAUAAUAAACACACAAUGACUGCUAGAAGUACUACUACUAAAAUUCACUAACUCUUCCUAAAAACACCAAAAAUAGGUUUUGACGGUUCGAGUACAGCAGCAGCAACAAUUUUAGCACACCUUUCUUUCAAUGCAUAUGAAGUAAUUACACAUCAAGACAUAAGCAUCUGCGGGGAAAUAAUUAACAUCCAAUCAAUGGCAAAAUAACAGUCCUUGUAAUUAUCCCAAAAGCACCCUAUAAAGAAAGUGGUUUUGCAUUUUCCAUUGUAGGUCUUCACAACUCAUCCAAAAGCAAAAAUAGAAUAGAGGGUGCUCAAACCUAAAAUAAUAGCACCAUGUAGAUCUACACCAAGCAAAAAUUGAUUUUUCCUGGAACAUUAAACAGGUUUGUUGUCAUAAAAUGCAUCAGAGAAGAAAACUGCAGGAAAACUUGAAGAUAAGAAACUGUGAAAUUAUCAAUAACAAAGAUACCAAAAUAGUACUCAGUGGAUUUAAGCAGCAGUCUAAUAUAGUCUUUCCACAUUACAUGCAUUGGCUUGAACAUAUCAAAUCUGCAAUCAAAAUGAACAGCGAUAAGAUAAUAAAAAGAAUAUCAUUGUAGAAAAACUUAAUCAAUUAGAAUAAAGCAAAGUGAAUAAUACUUUACUUGUUCCUACUUCCUAGCGUGAAUCUAAUAAUUCCCCUAUGAAAGACGAAAUGAAAAAUUCUUAACAAUAAUAUACACUACCAAAGUUUAAGGAUCAACAGAGACCUGAAGUUUACUUAUGAAACUCUUGAGGAAAAUCCAAUUAUCCAUGUUUUUUUAUGUUGUUUCACGGACAUGUGCUUAUAGAGCGUUUUGAAUAAAUUUGCAAAGCCCUAGUUUUAGAAGAUGAAGAAAGUGCACGUCCUUGUACACAAUUAUCAAGAAGUAUCCAGUUGUUGAUUUUCAUGUUCCUAGAUCCUUGCAUGUACUUUAGGGCUGCAUUUCCCUUCCGAAGAAGUUCAUGCAAUAUUCCAGGAACUGAACCUCCUCUUUCAGCAGAAAACUGCAGAACUUAAGUCAUAAGUCAAUUUAGAACUGGGAAAAUAAAACCUUAGAAAUUAAAGGAUAAAGAAUAUCCAACUAUUUAUUUAGUCAUGGUAAAAUAUACAUCUUACAAAAUUUCAAAAAUUAAGAAAUUAUAACAUUUUGGUUAGAUUUGGAGCUGGGACAUUUACAUUGCGGCUUUCCAAGGUCGUAAAUAGAUUAAAAGGUUACUUUUGAGAUCCAUAUAUUAUUCCUCCAAUAAACUAUUUUUUAAAGUUCAUAAUUCAGAGGAGAUUGACCAUUGACUUUAUGGAAUUAUAAAAGAGAAGUUGAUCAUGAAAUUCUUGAAAUGAAAUACAUUCCCAUUAGUUGUGAGCAGAUUUCAUUCACAGUCACAGAAAGUUGGGCACAUUCUAAACCAUCUUCAUUGUCUGCAUAUAGAUAGUUACGCAUUAUGCACGUAUAUUGAAGUUACAAAUUAAAUUUAUAAUUCACGCAAAACCUUCAAAAAUCAAGAUGAAUAAACUAAAGAAGAAGGAACCUUAGUGUUAUAAAGACCAUACAGUACCUUGUGAAACGGCAACACAAAAAGACUGAAACUCCCUUAAAAAAAGUAAAAUGAAAAAAGUAUCAGCUUAAUCUAGAAUUCUAAACGAACAAUAAAAUAUAAAAUCUUACAUUUCUAGCAAGAAAAAAUGCACUAGGGUUUAUUUUAAAACAUAAACACUGACAUGAUUGUUUGGAAGAUGUUACGAAAAUAGCUUUAAUAUAUGUCCAAGAACUGUUUUCAACUUAUUUUCAUAAGUUCCUCUACACAGCUUAUUGUCAUAAGUUGUUUUCAGCUUAUUCUGUCAUCAAUUAUAGAAACAGCUUAUACAUAAGCUAUUGUAUGAUAAGUCUUACAUCUAUAACUAUCUAAUUAAGUUGUUUAUUCAAAUGUCUCCAAAGUACUAAAUCAAAAUAAGAAGUCUGAGCAAAUCAUUCUACAUUGUGAGAUAAGUUAUUUAUUAUUUAUUGUUUCUGAAUUAAGUAAUAAAAUAAAAAGGCAAAACAAUAGAAAGUUGAAUUACUUUUAUUGGGCGUAUCCAAUAAAUGCAAGGACGAAUGAUUAGAAGUAGAAGUUGCAAAGAAUAGUUCAUUUCACAUCAUUUAUUGCCAUUUUGUUUUUCUUUUCUUUGAGGAUAUGUUCAGUAUGAAUUCUUCUCUCAAAAGCCUCCAAUGUGCGUUUCCUUGAAUCUGCAGCCAUCAACACUUACCUUCAUACAAUAAUACAUGUAAAAGGGACACGGUCAAUAAGUGAUGAAAAAGACCAAAAUAUAAUAGCUCAUGAGAAAACUCGUAUUAUAUUUUGAAUUUGGAGGGAAAGAAAAUUAGGGUUUUGGUUCAAAAGUUUGGGGAUUUUGAUUUUAAGCUCAAGCAGUCAAAAGAAGAACAUAUAGUACCUUGGUCACAGCUGAAGCGGGAAAAAAACGCCUAAGAAAGAUUGAUGUUUAGUGCAGGAAAACGAAGUGAGGUGGCCGGAAAACAUUUUUACCACCGCUAAAUUUUAUGACAAAAAAAAUACAAUAUUUUGUGACAAAAAAAAAAGUACACGUCUACAUUUAUAUGAUUUUAUUUAUAGAUGUCUACAUAUAAAAUCAAAUAUUAUAAGUUUUUUUACAUGAUAAAAAUAUAAGGUAAACAACUGGAAACUUUUAAGUAAAGUAUGCAUUAAUAUAUAAUAUUCGUUAUCUGAAAAAUAUCAUAUUAAUUGGUAAAUAAAUAUACAUUUGAAUUAAUGUAUUAUAAUUAUCUUUAUUUUUAUCUAAAAUAUAUUUUAGAGAAAUAAUAAUAUUAAAUAUAUAUUUUAUUUUAACUAAUUUAUUUGUGUAUUAUAUUUUUUGACACUUUUAUAAUAAAAUAUUAUAUUUUAUAUAAAUUCUCUCUUACCUAAUUAAUUGAUCCAUGUUUGUAAAAAAAAAGUUUGAUUCGUGAAUAAUAAUACUGUAUCUAAUUAAUCAAAGAUAAAUAUUUUAUUUGAUGUAUAGUUUGUAAUUAAAUUUUAAUUAGUGUAUUUAAUUUAUUUUAUUAAUAAAAUAUUUAAGAGAUAUAUUAAUAAUCAAAUGUACGUUUUUAUCUUAACUAAUUGAUCGUUAAUCACCAUUUUUUAACUAAUUGAUAUGUAAUAAAUAAAACAUAUUUUUAUAAAAUAAACAAACUCUAAUAUUUCCUUGUGUUGUAGUAUUUAUUAUUGUUUUGUCAAAAAUUAUCUUCAACUAUUUAUUACAAAGAGAAAAAUAGAUAUAACAUAAUAAUACACAAUUAAAAGUAUCACAUGAAAAAAAUAACAAUUUUUAUUUUUAUAUUUUGCUAACAUCAAAACGACAAUUGAAAAAAAAAAGUAAUAUUAUCUACUCUCCGUUUUUUUUUAAUCGUCAUUUUUGUACAAAACUUAUUUCUAUUUGUUUAUCAUUUUUAAAGUUUAACAUUGAAUAUUAUUUUAUUAAUAAUAACUUUAACUAAUUAUUACAAAAAAAUGUAACUAGAUUAAGAUAUACUACAUAGUCCCAUGUCAUGUAUAAGUCUUCGUGAUUUUCUUCAUAUAUAAAUCUUCAUUUUUUUUUCUACAUAUAUUAAGAUAUUCUUUAUAAGUAGCUACUAAUUUAAUAUACCAAUUUUACGUGUAGAUAUUCCUAAGAUACACUUUAUACAUGAAUAUAUAUAAUUUGACUUCUAAUUUUUAAAAUAAAUUUCUAGUAUUAAUAAAAUGUUUUUUUUUUUAAAUACACCUAAUAACUUAAAAUGGUGUUAUAUUUAAGAACAAUUUUGUUUUCUUUAAAAAGUCCUUACAAUUAAGGACAAAGAUAAUAAUAAAUAGAUACUCCUUCCUAAAAAAUAUAAACAAAAGCAAUUCAAAAUAUGUAAUUGAUUUGGAUCAUAUAAAGGAGGGUCUGAGUUCAAAUAAGUGCAUAACAUUUUUUGGAUCAAUUUUGCUUUUCGCUUAAUAACACAUUAUAUAGUAUAAACAUUGAAUAUAUUCAAUCAAAUAACAUUUUUUGGAUCAAUUUUGCUUUUCGCUUAAUAACACAUUAUAUAGUAUAAACAUUGAAUAUAUUCAAUCAAAUAACAUUUUUUGGAUCAAUUUUGCUUUUCGCUUAAUAACACAUUAUAUAGUAUAAACAUUGAAUAUAUUCAAUCAAAUAACAUUUUUUGGAUCAAUUUUGCUUUUCGCUUAAUAACACAUUAUAUAGUAUAAACAUUGAAUAUAUUCAAUCAAAUAACAUUUUUUGGAUCAAUUUUGCUUUUCGCUUAAUAACACAUUAUAUAGUAUAAACAUUGAAUAUAUUCAAUCAAAUAACAUUUUUUGGAUCAAUUUUGCUUUUCGCUUAAUAACACAUUAUAUAGUAUAAACAUUGAAUAUAUUCAAUCAAAGAGUUAUCGGAUAGAUCAGUCACAAUCUUAAUCGAUGAGUUUUCAAUCAACUGCUUCACUAGAUAGAAUGCAAUGUCUCAAUAUGGAGAAGUCAAACCCACAUUCAUCAACCAUCGCUGUCAUCUUCACAACUCGCAUAUAAACCCCAUAUACUCCUCCAUUAACAAAACUACUCUAUGCUGAGGGGCCAAGAAAUGUAUUUAAAAUAAUAAAAACGGGACCAAUAAAUAGACAAGAGACCGUUGACCAACAUUCAUAUAGUUAAUCUUUGAACACAAAAAACGGAAUAAAAUAUGUGAGCCCAAAUAACAAUAAUCGAUAUAUUGUCAUAGUGAAAGUGAUGCCAAAUAAAUCCAAAAAAAAUUGAUACCAAAAUAUGCAUGUUGACCUUCCUUCUGAAUUCACCAAUUGAACUAAAUAUCUAAUUCUGUGAAGCUUAUACCUUCAGCCACCUCCAGAUUUGAGUGUAUUGCUCAACCUACAUGACGAGUUCACAUAUUAACAUUGCCCAAAAGAACAUAGCUCCAGUGAGCAACAAAAAGGAAGUGCAAUGUUAUAUCAAACUUGCAGCUCAAAACAGUGUAACUCUAAACAUCUCAAAAAGUUAUAUCAACAUUAGCAAAUAUCAAACUAGAAAUAGUAACAAUAAAGAUGCAUUAUAACCGCACAACGUAAAAUUACAGUUACAGUCCAUAGGCAUCUUUUCUAGACCAAGGUAUACAUACUCGCUUUUAACAUUUCAAAAGCCCAUUGCCAAGUUAAUCACAUUCUAUUAGAUAGGGUUUCUAUCCGCAAGCAUUAACUAUACUAUAUUUGCAUACACUGAUAUAUACUAUUGAACUCAGUAACCUAACAUGGAUGAUGAUUGGUAUGAGUUUUAUAACAUUGGGAAAACAAAUCCUCGUAACACAAAAAAUGAAAAAGAACAAAUUAACAAGGCAGCAAAACUAUCUACUAAGAUAUUUGAUAUCGUAACUCCCUUGAAAUAGCCUUCAAAUUUAAUAGACUUACCAAUCGAGGCCCUCAAAAAGUCCUUCGCCUUUAAUAGCAGAAGUUUUAAAAAUAGACCAUUGGCGAUUUUUAAUCUUGUGCAACUCAAGAGCCUCCGUCACUGCAGCAUCAUCAAGGGCACCAGGAAGGUCCUGCAUAAUGAAAAGACACACAUGAGAUAAAUUAAUAAAUAAUUUUUUUAGUUCUACACUAUAUUUGACAUAUCAUCUAUGUACAUGUGCAUGUAGUAAUUAGUUAAGUACAAAAUGAAGAUAUCUUAAGAAUUAUGUCAGUUAGCAAAGAUUUCUCCCUAUAAUAUCAGCUUCAUAACUCUUAUAUAUACAGUGCUUACUUCUAAUCUCCCUUGUGAAAAUAUGCAAAUUCAACAAAUAUGAAUCAAACUCUGACCUGUUUGUUUGCAAAAAUGAGAACUACUGCACCUUUUAAUUCUUCUUCCUAACAAAAAGAUUCAUAGAAAAUAAUUGGCAUCAAUUUUUUGUUGCAAAACUGAAAUCAGAAUCACGAGACAACAUAACCAUAGUCAAAGGAGAAUAGGAAACAGAUAAAAUACACACACCCACAUAAAUAUAUAUAUACUAAAAAAUUCAUUAAAUUAUAAUUAAAUAAAUGAAAUUUGAAAAUAUUUGAAUCAAACUUUUGAAUCAUGAAAACACCUCAAAACAAAAUUGCAAGAAUUAUGCUAACAACACACUCUCUAGCACGCACUUUUCAACACGGUCUAUUCAAUUGGUAAAAAUUCAUACGGAUCCCACCAAAUCUAUAUAGGACCCACAAAUUUGGUGGGACAUUGGGACCAAAAUAAAUUUAGACUAAUAGAAGAAAGUGUGUUGGAAUAUGUGUUGAAGAGUGUGUUGCAAUAGCUAAGGAUUUGUAUUGUUUGAGAAAACACUUUGUUUUAUUGAUAAUUACAAAAACGUCACCCUAGUUUUAAUUUAUUUCCUGUUAUCAAGAAACGCAUGAAAUGAUGAAACUGCAAAAAAUUUAGUCACCCUUUUUCUAAACAAACCCUUGAAAACAGUAAACAGACUUAAAACAGAGUAGCAUUUUUAUAAUUAGCAGAGAAAAUAAGGAAUAAAAAAGGAUUUUUCAUAUAAAACAGACCCCUAAACCUUGAACAACUACAAUAAAAAAGGCCUAUUCCAACUAGGAUUAAUCAAACACCACAACUGAGUUCAGUCAAAAACUAGUCUAUCAGAGAGGCCGCUUAGAUCUAAAUCCUUUUUGAUUAUUUCAACAAUAAGUUUUCUUGCACUUCCUCUCCCUCUCCCUCUUUCCUUUGAUUAUCAAGCGAUCUUCCAUUUGAUAAGCUUUUCUAAAUGGUCUUCUCCUCACAUAUUCAAACCAUCUUUGGAUGUAGUUCUACCAUACCAUCUUCACUCAUAGAAGCUUCACAAGAGUUUUAAGAGUAACAAACUGAAUACUAGUACCAAAGUUCUAAAUGAAGUGUGUGUGUGUAUCAGGAACAUAUACCUCCAGAAUUGCAUGGAACUCCUCCCUAGCUAUCACAAGCCUAUCAGUGUCACUUGAAUCCACAACAUAGAUAAUUGCUUGAGUAUUUGGAAAGUAACACCUCCAAUAUGGCCUAACAAAAAAAUCAUAGCCAGUAAAAGAUCAGAGAAAUUGAUGGAGACUACAUAUUUAUUAGGGAUAAAUUUAUUUUCCAAUCUUGCAGUUUGGUCCACUUGGUUUCCAUGUGCCGGUGAUUUGUUCUUUUAAUCAUGUCGCCACUAUAUAAUUUUUUUGACCAUUUAUAAGGGAAAUGGCAUGUGAGGACUGAACAAUAUUGUCAAAUAGCGGCUAUAGCAGUGUUGUAACACUAGUGUAACGGAAUUUUAACAAACCACUAUUUUUUGCGGUUCGCGAUCUACAACAUUGGGACUGAAAAGUAAUUUAUGCACAAGAUGAAAUCUUUUCAAGGUAAUGAAAUUUUUUAAAGUGACAUUAUUGGGAAAAACCCAAGUCCCACAGUUAUAAGUGAUAGGGAUCUAUAAUAGUUUAAAAAGAGUGGCACCCUCACCUUAUAAGUCGGUUUUGUGAGGAUAAGUUAAGCCCGAUAUAAAAAUCAAAGAUGAUAUCAGAGUCAACCAAGCUGGCGUGAGGGGGUGUAUUAGGAAAAAACCAAGUCCCACAUUGAUAAGUGAUAGGGCUCCAUAAUAAUUUAUAAAGAAUGACACUCUUCACCUUACGAGCCAAUUUUGUGAGGAUGAGUUAGGCCUAAUGUAAAAACUAAAAACCUAAGAGACAUUUUUGUGCCGCACAUGAUUAUCACAUGCAUUUUUGUUUAAAGGAAUCAUGAAAAAAUCAAAUCUCAGGGUGACAAAAAUGUAUGUGAUAAAAUACCAGCUUCCUAGCAGAUAAAUAAUUGGCAUAUUGAAGCUUCUCAUUAUAUUUGGAUGGUUCUCAUAACCUACCAUAUCACGUGAUAUUAUUAUUACACAUUGUUUAGCUUGAAUUACUUUAUAUUCUUUUAGAUUUUAGACAUUUAUAUUAUUAGAAACCUACACAUCCACACACAUAAUAAUUAACUGCAUAAGGAUUGGUAUCUUCUUACUAGAAAUACACAUAUCUAAGACUUUAGAGCAGGUUCAUAUACAGGUAAACAGAAAUAUGGAAGAGUUAAAAGUAUUAAAAAAAAAAAUGGAACAUCCUAAUACCACAGAGGAGAAUAAAUAUACAAAUUGGUGUGCACUGUAACACAACAAAAGUCACCCGCUAUUAUCUGUUAAAGUAAAUUUUUAUAAAAUUACACAUUUUCCAUCAGUCAAAAGAAGCAAGAAUGAAACCAAAAGGCUUACCUGAUACUUGUUUGCCCACCUGUAUAAUAAACAAAAGAUGAAUAUUAGAAAUUGAAAUAAGCUAAACUAUGUUAUAAGUCAUAUUAUAUCAUAUUAAGUCUCGUGCAACUAUAAGUUCACAUGGCUGUUAGUGACAGACUAUAUUUAAGGUUUGAUGUGUGUUUAUUUUCUUUCAUGCAGUACAAAGGAAAUAGCCUGAAACAAGAAGAAAUAUAAUGUUAUUGUCAAAGGUUUCAGUAUAUUUUCAUCUUCCCUUGCUUUAUAUCAAAAUUCAAAACUACAUAUAGACAACAGAAGAGGACAAAAUUAUCUGAACUCACUUUGAUAUGUGUUACAUUUAUCACUACUGUACCCCAAAAAUAAAACUAGCAGAAUUCAAUUUUAAAACAAGGGCCCAUGUAUGCUUGCUUGUAUUUAACACGAGACAGAAAUGUCAUGACUGUCGACACAUAGUCCUCUAGGUUGGAACAGAGUAAGUCAAGCCAGGUGCACAAGUUGAGUCAACUUAUUGAGUACAUGAUUUUAGUGCAGAAAAACAAUGGUUGUUGUUGUAUAGGAUUUGAUGCAAAAUUUGGAAAGAUAACAUGGUCAUCUCAAUGAGGAAAUAUAAUAUUAAUAUGGUCGGUCAUCUUUAGAACUCUGAAGUAACUAACAAACAAAAAAAUGUUGAACCAAGCUGUUUAAAGUCAUUACCUAAAUCCCAGACCUGAAAUUUAAUGUUGUUAUACUGCACAGUUUCAACAUUGAACCCGAUCGCUGGAUUAAAUAAUCAAAUAAACCAGUCAGCCACUGUGCAAAAAGAAAAUUGGAACUGCAAAUAUAUCAUUCAUCCAUGCAUGUAUUCAAAACACUUACAAGCAGCAUGUAUGCAUGCAAACCGGAGGAGCUAAAGCAUCAUAAAUGUUGUCUACGUUAUUAUAUUCCAAAAGGAAAAUGUAAUACUACAAUACAUAGUUACAUACAGUUGAAUAAAGGAAAUGUUUUGUACAAAAAGUUUUUCAUAAAAACUGUAGCAAUGAGUAUGAUUGGUUGAAUGCAUGUAAGUGUAAGUAAGGUGUGUAGCUCUUCCAAAACAAGUUUUUCUUUGACCUCACGAAACCAGUAUUGUUAUGCGUUAUUUCAUUUUGUGUCCAACUCUACAAAUUUUUUUUAGAAACCAAAUAACAUCGCUAUCAAGUUGAAUUGAAAAUCCAAACUAGUUAAUAAAAUUUAGCCAGAGGGUAAAGCAACUAGUUAAUAAAAUUCAAAACCAAUAGGGUUCANNNNNNNNNNNNNNNNNNNNNNNNNNNNNNNNNNNNNNNNNNNNNNNNNNNNNNNNNNNNNNNNNNNNNNNNNNNNNNNNNNNNNNNNNNNNNNNNNNNNNNNNNNNNNNNNNNNNNNNNNNNNNNNNNNNNNNNNNNNNNNNNNNNNNNNNNNNNNNNNNNNNNNNNNNNNNNNNNNNNNNNNNNNNNNNNNNNNNNNNNNNNNNNNNNNNNNNNNNNNNNNNNNNNNNNNNNNNNNNNNNNNNNNNNNNNNNNNNNNNNNNNNNNNNNNNNNNNNNNNNNNNNNNNNNNNNNNNNNNNNNNNNNNNNNNNNNNNNNNNNNNNNNNNNNNNNNNNNNNNNNNNNNNNNNNNNNNNNNNNNNNNNNNNNNNNNNNNNNNNNNNNNNNNNNNNNNNNNNNNNNNNNNNNNNNNNNNNNNNNNNNNNNNNNNNNNNNNNNNNNNNNNNNNNNNNNNNNNNNNNNNNNNNNNNNNNNNNNNNNNNNNNNNNNNNNNNNNNNNNNNNNNNNNNNNNNNNNNNNNNNNNNNNNNNNNNNNNNNNNNNNNNNNNNNNNNNNNNNNNNNNNNNNNNNNNNNNNNNNNNNNNNNNNNNNNNNNNNNNNNNNNNNNNNNNNNNNNNNNNNNNNNNNNNNNNNNNNNNNNNNNNNNNNNNNNNNNNNNNNNNNNNNNNNNNNNNNNNNNNNNNNNNNNNNNNNNNNNNNNNNNNNNNNNNNNNNNNNNNNNNNNNNNNNNNNNNNNNNNNNNNNNNNNNNNNNNNNNNNNNNNNNNNNNNNUUCAGCAGAGAAACGAACUAAAAAAUAAAAGAAAAUGCAAAACGAGAUCGAGUACCAACUUGGAAUGGUGGAGACAACUUCUCCCAUCUGAAGCCGAUCUGAAAACAAGUCGACAAAAUUAGUAUAAAAAAUAGCGAAUUGGAUUCUGUGAGAUGCAGAAAGGUAAGAAGCAUACAGAGAAUAGUGGUUUUUCCGGCAUUGUCGAGACCGAGAACGAGAAUUCGAGCUUCCUUGUUACCGAAAAAUGAAAACAAUCUGGUAAACACUAAUCCCAUCUUCCGAUUCGGCAGAGGGACGGACACAGUACAGUUACGGUUAGAACAUUAAUCAAUCAGCUAAAACUGAUUCUUCUUACUGAGAAUUCGUUUGUUCGGACGGAGAAAAAAUUGAAAUCGGAUCAGAUCUCAAAGCAAACACUCUGAAUCUGCAUGCCAGUGUGAAUCUGAUCUGAAGAAAUUGAAAAUCGGAGAAGCAAGGGUUACGUUUGGAAAGGUUUUGAGAUAGAAGAAUGGAAUCGAAAAAUGAUGAAUAUAUGAGGAUCGAGUGAAGAUUUUGAUUCCCUCGCCCUCCACCUUUCGGUUAUGGGAUCUGGUGUAGCUAUUGUAUUACUUCUUUUCGCGCAUUUAGACCAGCACCACCAAAUUUGGACCUGGGCUUUUCCGUAUUAUAAGAUCGGGCCAGCCCAUACACUCGAGAAAAAGGUUGUUUCUUCCUCUCCUAAUAUACUCAACAUUUGGGGGAGAGAAGGGAAAAAAAGUCUACUACAUACCCUACAUUUAUGCCCCGUACCCCCAAACCCCAUGAAAUUCUAUGAAAAAAGUCCUUCAACAAAACAAACAAAAAAUAUUCGGAAAUUUCACAGUUUGAAAAUUUCAUAAAACUUGAAUUAUUAAUUUUUCACAAUUUGAAAAUUUCAAAACAUGAAUAUGUUCCAAAUCUAAAAUAUAUUUUAAAUUGCAACAAAAUAUAAUAAAAAAUGUGAGAAAUCAUUUCAUCCGAAAUUUUUCUCUGAUAAGAUGAGGAAUCAAAUUAUAUCAAUAUAAUAUUAUAUCAAUGUUAAAUUGUUUAAUAAUAUUUUAACCGAUACAAAUUUUACAAAAUUCACUUUUAAAUUGAAAAUUUAUAUAUAUCAUUCAUGUAAAAUUUUGCACAAAUUUAAAAUCAUUUGAUUGAUGAGUGAGACUUAUAUCGAUUAACGACAUUUACUAAAAAUAUAUAAGACGAUAAUUUUAAUGUAUGUCAAUAACAUUUCAAAUGAUUUUAAAAUUUUGUAAAAUUUUACAUAAAUAUGAUCUAUAUGAUAUAAAAUUUUAAUCCAAUAAUAAAUUUUGUAAAAUUUGUAUCAAUUAAAAUAUUAUUAAACUAUAAUAUUUCUUUGUAAUUUGAUUUCUCCUUUAUUUCAAAAGGAUGCAUAGAAAGGUGAUAAUGUUCUAACAAUUUUGAUAUAUAAUUUUUGAAAUUUCAAAUAUUUUAGAUUAUAAUUUUUGUUUUGGAUAUUUUUCACUUUUUAUUAUGACAAUUUUAGUGUGCAAAGAAAUAUCCCUAAAUUGAGAUUUUUCUUUUGGGGGAAAAAAGGUGGGAGACGAAAUUGAAAUUUAGGAGAAUUGUGGAUAUGAGGACUAGCUGUGUGGGAGUAUGUAGUGUAUUUUUCAACGUUCAAUAGCAAAUGUUACAUAAGCCUCCCUCUUUUUAAAUUUCUACCUACCAUUUUAAAAAAUACUCCUUCUUGUUGCUCUGAAAUUCAAAAAAGCAAGAAAUAUAUUCAAAGAGUGAUGACAGAAGUUGACCCUUAAUCAUUUGCAACAAUGAUUCUUAAUCACGAUUAAGAUAAGUCUUUGUUUGGGAGUUACGAAGGAAAAGAGACGAAAACUUUAGAUGCUGAGAGGAAUGAAAAAAAUAAGAUCUUUUAUUUUUCUUGGAGAGUACUUUUAAAGAAAAUGAGAUGAAAAUAUAAUUAAUAUUAUUCAAUGCAUUUGUUUAGUUCUCCUGUAUUGGAGGAUACACUUUUAAUUAGUUAUAAACUACAUUGGGAAGGAGACAUGCUUCCAUAGCGGUACAUACGCAAACAUGGAUUCGUUGAAUAUUUACACAUUUAUUAAAAAGAAAUUGAAAUGUGUAUAUUAUUUCUUUUGUAUGCAAAAAAUACAACCAAGUUGGACCUCGAUUCACUAAUUCCGUAUCCAACUAUUAUAUGUAAAUUUGAAUUAUUUAGUGUUCAUAUGUUAUUUUGCUUGUUAAAGAAAUUCCGAUAUUAGUGCAGAGGCCAACAAAUUUUUGCAUCAUUAACAAUGUCACACAUGCAUUCGCUAUGGACAGCUACAUCAGCAUUGUAUUAUGUGAAAACAUAGGAGAAUUUUACUGUAUGCAUCCCUUCAACUUCCGAUGACGAUAAUAAUAAAGGAAAAUAAAAUUAAAAAAAUGAAAGUAAAAAUAAUUAUCAAACUCUGCAUGCUAAACUCUCUCUGAUGACCAUGGUAUGCACCUUAUUAUUAUUAAUAAGAGUUAACAUCCACUUCACCUGGCUUCGAGUGCACCCGGCAGAUAUUGCCUCCAGCUCCACACAUAAUUUAUCCCAAUAAAAAUUAACUUACAUACAAGUAAAUCUUGAUUUCGUUUAUUAUACUAAAACUAAAACUACAAUUGUAAACUGUUCCUAAUAACAAAAAUGACAAGAAAAUAACUGCCACACAGAGCUAGAUGCUUCUUUUUAUAUAGCAGACUGGAAUAUCAUUUCAGCUAGCUCCUGUAAAACAUAAAAUAGAUAUAUAUAUUUAUUAGUGUCUAUUUAAGCUCUAUUUUUCAAACUGAAUAAUUAAUCAUACACAUAAGUCUAUGUUUGGUUACACGGAGGAAUAGACAAAGCCGUAGUGACUCAUCGUGAUUUUGUCAAAUGACCACGAAAUCAAACGUGCACUAAAUCUGUUCCGUGUGAGUUGGGGAAGCGAAAAUCUGUUCAUCUAUUAUACAUUACAACUUACAAGGUAAUGAAAGAUACCCCUUAUUGUUACAGAAAAUUUAGUUAUUAUAGUUACCUGUUUGGCAGAAGCGACCUUUGGUUCUCCCCAUUCCUUAGCCUUCUUCUCGAGCAAAUCAAAGUCGGCUUUUCCAGCCUAUGGCAACAACAUAUGUUUCAAUAAAAUUAACCAACAAAAGAAUUAAAUAUUAGAUGAGGAGAAGAAAAAGUUGGGAGAAUGUUACCUCUAUUUGAGCUCCGAUUUCUGUGUCAAAACUCUGAUAUCGCUUGCGGACAAGUUCGGCAAGAGAACCAUCCUCAAUUAGCUUGGCAGCAGUCCUGAGUCCUCGAGCCAUUGUAUCCAUUCCAACAAUAUGGGCUAUGAACAGGUCUUCAACGUCUGUGCUCUCUCUCCGCCUAAAAUAUCGCUUAGUAAAGAAAUCGCAACAAGGAAAAAGGGAUAUUAGUACAAAAAAGAUAAUAAAGGACUCACAAUUUGGCAUCAAAGUUGAAUCCACCAGGUGCAAUUCCAUCCUGGAAAAAGACAAGAAUAACCCAGUCAGAUGAGAUUGUGUUUCUAAGGUGAGGAGGAGUGUUGCACUUCAGAACACUGGUUAAGAACAAGCAAUUUCAUACGUUUCUGAUAACGCUGAGCAUAAUCAUUGUUGCCUCUUGGAUAUCUACGAGAAACUGAUCUGUGUCCCAACCUACAAUAAUGAUAACAAUUUCUAUUACAACUUCCAAUCUUGUGACAAGUUAACACAGAGUCUUCCUUCCAACUUCCAUGUUAGAAGUUACAUUAUUAAGUAAUAGAGAAUUUGCACAUACCAACUUGAGGAUCGCCGGUAUUUGCAUCAAUAUUACCCAACAGUCCAUUAAUCCUUGCAGUUUCAAGCUCGUGAUGACAACUAUGACAGGCAUUAAAAAGAACAAGAAAACAUGUCCAGUUUCAGUAAUGAACGUAAAAAAUAAAAUAUAAAGUAUGAUGAACACAAUAUACAAUUAAAGAUUCACCUGUGACCCGAUAGGGUGGCAUGGUUGCACUCAAUGUUCAGUUUGAAUUCCCCUACAGAAGGAACAAAAAUGAGGAAGGGAGAAAUUUGUGCAAGUGAAAUAACACAACUUUUAAUGAAGAGAAACCUUUCAAGUCUAUGCAAGCAGUGAAGAGACUCAUUGUGCUUUUGUUUUGUACAAUUUUGGUGAAAUUCGUUCACAUUAGGGAUAACUUGGCUAUUAAAUUCAAGAGGCUAAGAAAUUUUCUAACUCGAGAAGAGGGGGGAAAUACAGUUUCAUAGAGGACAAACCAGUAUACAGGACCUUGAUUAGUCUUUAGAUUAUAGGGCAAAGUAAAUUAUUGCUUUAGAAAAAGAUAGAGAACAAUUAGAAAGUUAUAUACAGUUCAAAAUCUUCAUGGUGUACUAUUUAAGAACAUAAAAUUUUCAUUAUAGAAAGACAUCACACCCACUUUUUGGUUCUUGGGGUGACAUUUGAAUGAUGAAUACAAGCAAAUAUUACCUUCAAGUCCAUAUUUUCGCAAGAAAUUAGCUGUAGUUGCAGCAUCCCAAUCAUAUCUGGAAGAAUACAAGUUAGUAAUGUACAUAAUAGGCAAUGUAAAAUUAUUGAUUGAAUAGGUAAGAAGCAUACUGGUGUUUUGUAGGUUCUUGUGGCUUUGGUUCGAUUAAAAGUGUCCCUAAAAACAUAGCAAAAGAAAAACAUGAGAAAAUAUUCAUUUAUUAUGGAAAAAAAUUAUGGUGUGUGUGGUCCGUAUAGACAUAAAAUUAUAGGUUUGAUCUAUUCAUAUGUUCAUAAUUUAGCGCUGCACAUUGAUCAAGCUAGUUGGUAUUCCGAGGAAGAUUACCAUUGAAUCCGAUCUUCUUUUUGUGUGCAACAGCAGCUUCAAAAAAUCUAGCCUGUAACCAGGAAAAAAGCAGCAUUGUUUCAAGAAAGAUGCAACACGCUGCAAAUUAAAAGACAAAACUACAGAAAUUUUUGGAAUAGGCAAUUAAUUACUGAAAGCUAGUGUGCCUUGCUCUUUUUAAAUGUAAAUCACUAUGUAAGGGGAAAAAUAUUCAAGAUGUUGACCAUCUAAUAAUUUAGAAAAUUUCCCUUGGGCUUCCUGCUCAGCUUUUGAUUACAUUUUUUUAGCAUUAACAUUGAAACUUGGUUAUUACUGUUGUUGAAGUGUGCAAAUUGAUACUGUUAUUAUUUCUUAAUUUUCAAGGAUAUUUCUUAUACACUGUUUAUCAACACAAGAGGCAAAAAGAGAGCACAAGCAGAUAACUACAUCAAGGAUAGAAUUAUUCACGCACCAAAUGAUUAAGCUCUCUUUCCAUAUCUGUGUUCAAAAGAGAUUGGUAACCCUCGCGACCGCCCCAAAACACGUAAUUUUCUCCCCCCAAAUAAUGUGUCACCUGCAAUACAUUUUUAUGACCAUAAUGAACAAUGGUUCUAAAAAUACAAUUGACCUUGUUACUACUACUGUAAUAUAUGUACAGACGUACCUCCAUGGCUUUCUUUACUUGAGCGGCAGCAUAUGCAUACACCUCUAGCUCAGAGCUGUAAAGCAGUUCAUUUUGUGAGUCAUGAACCCACUAGGCAAAAGGACUGUAUAAGCUAGGAGAUAAUGGUGUAUAUGUUACCUAGUAGCGGCACCAUGCAUAUAACGAGGAUGCAUGAACAACUGAGCUGUUCCCCACAAAACGCUCUUCUUAUUCUGUAUGGUAAAUUUACAAAAUUAUUACAUGAAUUACGGGUAGUUUGACUGAGCCAAAAUAAAAGAGUUUACAUCUGAUUGCGUUAAGUUAUAUCUUUUAUAACAAAGCACUCAACACAAUGCCACACUAUAUAUAAACCCCUAUUUGAUUUUAUUUUUUUUUCAUUCCAUAUUCCAUUGUAUUAUAACACAUUGGAAAGGAGAAUAAAAAAAACCAGUGUUAUCAACAUUUCAAAACCACAAUUCACAAAACAAAAUCUCAUAUUUUUUCAUUUUCCAUAUUCCCAAACAUUUCAUAUAAUUUAUUUGAAGUGAAGAAGCAUAAUUACAGAACUCUGUACUGAUUUUAAAAGCAGAGAGGCUUAUUUUCCUACUUUAAGCUGAUUAUCUGAAAACUAUUAUAUUUUAAAAGAUCCAUUCAUGUCAAAUUACCUGACUCUGAAGCUCUUGAGCAAGGGCCACCACUUCAUCCAAGUUUGCAUUUGAUUCCUAAGACACAGGCAACAAGUGCAAUACAAUAGCUCAGAAAGAGUUAAAACCUUAAUAAACGUAGCAGCAGAUCAUUAAUCAAGAAAGCAAAUUCAAUCAACUAUGUCCUUGACCGUAGUUUAAUAUUCCAGAUAUAAAAAAUAAGUAAGCAUAUGCACUGCCUCUAAACUCUGAUCCUCUUUAAGAAUUGCAAUUAAGUAAAGCUGAGAAAUUUUAAAGAUUGACACACCUCAAGAGUCUUCCCAUCAGGAGCUAUAUCCCUAUCGUGGAAGCACCAAAAGUCGACACCAAGUUUGUUUAUGAACUCGAAAUUUGCUCUCACUGCAUUAUUUAUGAGAAAUUUAUAUUGCAUCACAUAAAAAUCUCUGAAUUUGAGGUACAUCAAAUUGGAGAGUGAAGAAUUAGCAUACUUCUUCUUUUAGCCAUGCUUAAUGAAUUGGUACCAUCUUCCCAUGGCCAAUGUUUGGUAGGUGCACCGAAUGGAUCACCACCUGUUCCACGGAAUGUAUGCCAAAAUGCAACACUAAAUCUGAACCAAUCCUGCAGUUACAUAAGAGUAAAUUCAAGUCGAAAUCCAAGUGUGGGUGGAACAAAAAAUGUCUGCAUAGAAUAUAAAUGAAAACCAACCUUCAUCUUCUUCCCAAUAAUUUCCUCCUCUGCAUUGUACCAUUUAAAUGAAAGUGGAUUCUUACUGGAUGGCCCCUGAAAAUAAAAUAAAUGCACUAAUAAAUGGAUGUACGGCACAUUCUACAGAAUGCAAAUGAAAAUAAGAAGAGUUUGGAACUAAUUAAGGUUUCUCAAACAAUGUUAUUAUGUUGUCAAGAACAAAAAAAAAAAUGAAAACUAAUUCAGUUGAGGAGGAUCUACCUCUUUCUCCUCAAGUGGAGUAAAAUUAAUGUAUAAUCAAUAUGAACACCAAAACCCUCCCCUACUCAUUUUUAUUAAAAAUAUUGCAUUUCCAAAACAUUGGAGAAGUUAGGAGGAUCCCAAAUAAUCAAAUAAACCUUCAUUAUACUCCCUUUUACUUUAUAUAUUCUUUUAUACCUUAAUUCCUUUCUUCACUCCCAAACACAGCCUCAAAUGACAAUAUGAAACGUUGCAAGAUGUAUGCAUUUAAUUAAAUUCAGUUUAGCGCAAAAAUUAUAUCAAAAUAAUCCUAAUUCAUAUUAUUAUGUAAAACAAUAAUAGAUCAAGAAAAAAAUAAAGUGUGAUAACCAAGUGUAGCCACCUCAUAUUUAAUUUUGGAAAUGCCAGGAAAAAACUCCCCUUCCCACUCAUCUGAAUCGCCACUUUUACCAACAUUCGUGGCAGGGCAAGUCUGAGGUGCACCAAUCUAUUAUCCAUCAAACAAAAACAAACCUUAUUAGCAUAUAAUACUCAAAAAUUGAACACACACAAAAAUAUAUAUAUAGGGAAAAAAUGUAUCAGUACCACUGCAUAACACAAGACAUUCAAACAAAGAAGAAGCAGUAAGACUUUCCCAGAUUUCAUUAUCAUGGAUUAACGUAAUUCCUGCACAAUAGAGAGAGUAAGAAAAUCAAAUCGUCAAUUAACACUUCAACAGCGCAUCACAAUUGAAGACAUAAAAGAAUAUGAUCGUCGUUGUAAUAACUAUAUGUAUGAGAAAUUUAGCUUAAUAAAUAACAUAUGAAUAUGUAUAAGAGUGAGAAAUUGAGUUCAGCGGAGAAAAAGGGUAAAAACAUGAAGCUAAAAAAUAGUAAUACGAAAUGAGGAUAAAAAGCGGUGAAGAGUGUAACCGUAAGAGAUUGAAACUUGUUCAGCGAUAGAGAUGUAACAAUUACCGAGCAGGAAUGGAUCGAUUUAUAAAAAUUAUUGUGAAAUAUUGAUUCCUAAUUUUCUUCUUCAAUUCGGUUUGUUGUGGUGUUAUUAUGGGGAAAACCUCGAAUAAUUGGAAUUGUGAAUUUGAGUAAUUGAUAGUAAUAUAUAUAGCUACAGAUUAAGUAGUGUUAUUAAUAUUAUUGGAUAAGAACGAUAUCAAUUAGCAAGUGCUAUAUCACGUGUUCCGCUGUCAGACUGGAUAUAUAUUCGGAAGAUUAUACACAACAUUUAUUUAACGUGUGCUAUUUUCAAAUUUUUCCAAAAAAGAAGAUCACUUGAAAUUUUAUAAUUAUUGUUAAUACUUUUUAGUAUUGUAAAUUAAUAACUCUUUUCAUUUUUAGUGAUCUAACUGUAAUUUGAUGAAUGCUGAUUCAACUAAGAGAAAAUGAUGGAUAACCAUGUAAAUAAAAAUUUAAUUUAUGAAUUAUUAAAUGAUUGGAUAUUUGGCCGAGUAUUCAACAAAACACCGUGUAUAAAAGUAUUCACCAUUUGUAGUCUUUUAUAUUAUACACAAUUUAUUUUUUCGAUUGUAAAUAUCAUUUAUUUAUAAUUUUUUAAUUUUAAUAUCUAAUAAAUAGUCAAUUAUUUCAAUCCAACAUCUUAAAAAAAUUAUUUCUUCCAUGUUAAUAUAACUAAUUUGUUUAUUAAAAAAAUUAUCUCAAAAUAAUUGAUUUAUUUAAUUUUUAGUAGAGUUCUCUCUAAUUAUACAUUUGAAUUAAUACUACUUACAUUAUUUUUAAUAUAAUAUUUUUUAUUAAAUAAGUUUAUCAAUUAUUUACUUUACUUUUUAUCAAAAAUAAUUUGUUUAUUAAAUUAUAAUUAUCUCAGUUUUAUUUUUAUUUUUUUUUAUUUUAAUUAAUUGUGGGUCUCACACUUACACGUCAUAUAAGAGCAUCUCCAACGGGAGUGAAAAUGAGUUCGUCCACCAGCGUGGAAUUACUUAACUCCAGUUUUUUGUGGGUUGGUGUCAUCACAGUUCUGUCAGGAAGAAACGGUGCUUCAUAGUGGUUACCUUUUUUUUUUUUCUCUAUCUACUUUCACAAUUUAAUAAUAAUAUAACUAUAACCGCUACCUUUUAUAAAUUUAUUAAUAAUAAUAAAUUUAUUAUUUUUUAUUAAUUUAUAGUCGUAAACUUCUUUUUAAUUUAUUAAAUAAUAAUAAUUUUGUAACCAUUACCUUUUUUUUCUAUCUACUUUUACAAUUUAAUAAUAAUAUAAUUAUAACCGCUACCUUGUAUUAAUUUAUUAAUAAUAAUAAAUUUAACAUUUUUUAUUAAUUUAUAGUCGUUAACUUUUUUUUUAAUUUAUUAAAUAAUAAUAAUUUUGUAACCAUUAGCUUUUUUUAGUUAAUAUACUACCGUUAGCCUUUUUUUUCUUCUUUAAUUACGAUUGUUAGCUCAUUAAUAGAAACAAUUUGUUACUCAUACUUUUUCUUCACAAUUUUUGUUAUAGAAGUUUAUUAAAGUUUUUAUUAACGUACUUUUUUAUUUAUUUUUCCAUUUAAAUUAAUAUUUUAAGUUAUAAUAAAAUUAAAUAUUAAUGUAUAAAUUAAAGUAAUGGAAUAUAAUAUGAUUUUUUAAAAGUUAAACCUUAAAAAAUGAAUGAGUUGAUUUAAGGUGAUGUGGCAUAGUAGAACUUGAAUCAUGUUGAGUUCAUAGUUGGAAUAGAAAAUGAGUGAAUUGCUUCAAGAUGAUCUGGCACAGUGGACCCCAUAUUGAGUUCGCCGUUGGAGAUGCUCUCCAACCGUAGCCAAAUGAGUUCGUCCGCCGACGUGUAAUCACUUAACUUCCAGUUUUUUGUGAAUUCACUGUUGGAGUUGUGCCAAGGUGUAAUCACUGUAAUCACGGUACUGUCAGGAAGGAACGGUGUUUCAUAGCAGUUACUUUUUUUUUUUUUCUAUCUACUUUCACAAUUUAAUAAUAAUAUAAUUAUAAUUAAUUUAUUAAUAAUAAUAAAUUUAUCUUUUUUUAUUAAUUUAUAGCCGUUAACUUUUUUUUUAAUUUAUUAAUAAUAAUAAAUUUAUCUUUUUUUAUUAAUUUAUAGCCGUUAACUUUUUUUUUAAUUUAUUAAUAAUAAUAAAAAUAAUGUAUAAUAAUAUUAAUUGGAAUAUUUAAAUUAAUAUUUUAAGUUAUAGUAAAAUUGAAUAUAACUAAAAUAUUAAUGUAUAAAUUAAAUUUAUGAGAUAUAAUAUGGUUUUUUAAAAGUUAAACAGUAAAAAAGAAAUGAGUUGAUUUAGAGUGAUGUGGCAUAGUAGAACCUAUUUAAAUGGAUUAUGUUGAGUUCAUUGGAACAAAAAAGGAAUGAGUUGCUUCAAGAUGAUGUGACACAGUAGACCUCAUUUAAUGAACUCAUAUUGAGUUCACUAUUGGAGAUGCUAGUAUGAUGCGACAUUGAAGAAACCACUUGAUAGUAGUUAUGGAUCUUGAAAUGUUUUCUUAAAAACUUAGAGAUGCUCUUCAAGCUUCAAGGGGUUAUUUUUAUUUAUAAGGGUCAAAGUGAUUAGAUACUCUUGGAGUAAGAAAAAAAAAAGUAGGUGUUUACGGUGAACACAGCAUAAUAAACUCCCGUGCCUAUUUUGUUUUAAUGAAAAGAAAGAAAAAAAUUCUUUAAACAACUCACUUUUAUAAUUUUUAUUUGCACUCAAUUUUAUCAUAAAUAAGAAUAUGUAUUCAUUUAUUUUAAUUUAUACUAAACUUAUAUUAAUUAUUCAAAAAAUAAAAUAUAUUUAUUUUAAUUAAUUUUUAUCAAUAAUAAGUUAACAACAAUAAGAAAUACAUAAAUAUGAUGAAAAUAUAUAAUACUGAGAAAUACAUAAUAAAUAUGACAAAUGAUGCCAUUUCAAACCACAAAGCAAUGUUGAAAUGUUUAAACAAUUGCAUAUUUAUCUAAUCAACACUGAACUCAACAAUAAUGUCUCAAUUUUUUUUCAAUUGCUCCUAUAUGUAAAUGAAGGGCCACUAAAAAAAACGCAGUACUUUCACUCUUCCAACGCCCCUCCACUCGCUCAUUCAUUAUUUCCAAAACUAACUACACCAAAGAGAACAUUGGAUUUAUAUCUCAACACUUUCACUCCUACAUCGAUUAUUUUUGAAAAAUUCAAUUUACUUCUAUCAAUUUUAUUAUUCAAAAAACUUUAGAUCUAUUAUUUAUCCCACACAAAUAUAAAAUCAGUAAGAAAUUUUAUUUUUCAAAAAUCCAAUUUAAAAAUUAACAUACUAAAAAUUUAAAAUUUUCGGUGCGUAAAAGAAUUUAUAUACAAUAUAUUUCACAAACAAAAUUUUGAAUAUGUAAAACAAAUUGAGGAAAAAAUAAUUAUACCAAAAAUUUAUGGUAUUUGAAAAAAAAAUAGAGAAAAAAAGUUAUAUUCGAAAUUUUAAAAAAAAUCAUAUUAUAAAUUUCAAAAACUUUGAAUUUCUUGCAUGUAAAAUAAAUUGAGAAAAAAUUUUAUAUACCGAAAAUUUCAAAAACUCUAAAUUUCUGAUAUUUAAAAAAAAACAUAGAGUCUGAGUUUAAAAAAUAGGCUGAAUUUGUUUAAAAUAUUUGUAUUUUCUACAAAUGUAUUUGUAACACCUCAAAUACUGUAUAAUACGUUUAUUAUUAUUUUACUAAUAAUUAUGUAUUUAUAUUUUUAUUGUCAUAAUUCAUAUAUUUAUAGUAAUCUUUUUUAUUUUAUUUAAUCAUAAAUGAUUGUUAAUUAUUCAAGUGAAGUUUAGUUUAGGAAGUUCUUACUAGUGUGUUUGUUAUAGUUGGGGAAUGAAUUAAAAAUAAAUCCAAUGGAAAUCUCAAGUUCAACUACAAAUAAUUCAUUUUGUAGUCAAACAUAACUUAUCAUUAGUAAAGAUUUGGAGGAGCGUGAUAGAUAAUUUUCAUCACACUUCGUAUGACUCAAAACUCAAUUGUUAGAAAGGAAAAAAAAAUGAAUGAAAGAAAGAAAGAGGGAGGACAUAAACUAAAAGAAGAGGGAAAAUUAAGAAGAAAGAAGAAAAAGAAGAGAGAAAACACCAUCACUCUCCCUUGCAUGUUUUACCUCCAAGCUUACCUACAUUAUUCCUUUACGGUAUAUUGAAUACAAAUGAGGAGAGGAAGAUAAAAAGAAAGAGGGUUAGGUUUGACUCUUGAAGAAACAAAAUGAAGAUUGAAGAUGAAGGUCAAGUGACGGUUAUUAUCAAUAAAUGAGAUUAAAGCUUAACCUUAGAAAAAGCCACAACUCUCUCACAUCUACAAGUUAAUGUAACAUAUAAAACUCUCUUAAAACCUCUCUUAGGUGUGCUUAGAGAUCAUGAUUUGUAUGUUUGGAUAUUGAGAUAAUCAUAUUUGAUUUAAUAUCAUUGAUUAUUAAUAAUGCAUGAUAAGUGUUUGUAUUAAUUACUAUGAAGAGUUAUAGUUUUAUUAUGAUUGUUGAGUGAUGUGGUUGAGUUGGUGAUGAGAUGAUAAUUGUUUAGUAUUGAUAAUUAAUCGAUUUAUGCUUAAUUGUUUAGUAUUGAUAAUUAAUUGAAAUGAAAAUAGUAUAAUGUCUCUGAACCCGUAUAGGUAUACAUUUGGUAUUUGUUCAUAACUUUCUCUAUAUAUAGUGUUUUGAGCUGAUUUUUAUUCCAUUAGAAAAUAGAUUUAAUUACUAUCAAAAUAAACACUGAUUUCACUAAAUUUCAUUGAAAAUUGAUAAAGGAACUUGAGUUACAAGUUGAAAAAAAAAUUGUUGUUGCGUUUUUGCACAUUGAUACCUUAUUUUAUUAAACUGCAUUAAUUGAAUGUCUGUUAUGCAAAAUAAAAAUUAUAUUUAUAAAUCAGACAUCUUAAGCUUUCCAAAAUAUUAUCGUUUGUUCAAAUCAGACAUUGCUUGAUGUUUUAAUUAAAUUGCCAAAGUUAUAGUGUUUUCUGCAUAAAAUUAUUAUGACGUAGCUGAGUUAAAAUGAGUAUAACAUAAGUAAUAGGAAUCAGUUUUGAGUGAAAUUAGUUGGGUCCGCAAGAAGACAUAUAGUAAUUUUAUCAAGUUAAGAUGUACGGUUUUUAUAAAUAUAAAAAUGACUUAGUAGUAUUGUAAACACAAUUAUUAUGUCAUAAGAUUAUUAUGUAAUGUUGUUAAUUUUAUAAUACCAUAACUUGAGUUAUAUAGAUCAAUUUCGAGUGAAACUAAUUACAUUUGAAAAUUUAAAUAUAACAACUACUUUCUGGAAGUUUGAUGCUAAUACAUGGUGUGUGUGUGUGUGUAUAUAUAUACACAUAUGAUUUAUAUGUUAAGUUCAUGUUCAAUUGUGUGAAUGGAGACUACUCAUAUGUUAUGAUUAUAUAUAUAUAUAUAUAUAUAUAUAUAUUAUAGCUAGAUGAACUAUUCGUCUAUAUAUGACGGAAGUGACGGGUAAAUGGGAUACUACUUACGGACUUAAUUAUAUUAAAUAUUAUCAAAAGAUGUUUAUUCAAGUAGAUGACAUUGAGUGAAACUAAUGUAGUCUUUAUGACUUACUUGCUAUGUAGAAUUUAAGUCAUUAGAUUACUUAUGUCUAUUGGCUUAAAUUAUUUGAAAGAUUUGAAGCCAGAGGUGAAAGCAGUACCUGAGUAUAACUUAUGAAUAAAUAAUAUUUUAUUAUAUUGAGGUAUAGUUUAUCGAGAGGAUUUUCCAUGCUUAACAUACCAGAAUGGCUAUGAAACAUCUAUAAUUAUUUUUAUUAAUUCUAUGUUAUUGAGUUUUAUGUUCACAAUGUUGAGGUGAUGUUUUCUAUGUACAUGUUAUUGAAAGUCUAAGGAGUAUUUAGAUUGCUCACCAAUCUUUCAAUGUCAUGAAUUGGAGUUAGAUCACAUCUUGAGUUUAGAUUACACUUAUACUUUAAUUAAGUGUUACUUGAAAGUUGUUUUAAAGUUUGUAAAUAUUUUAAUAUUCUAAAUAAUUUUAAGAAUUUAUAAAAAAAAAAAUUAUAUUUAUUUGCAAACACUUAGAUACUUUUAAAUUGAAAGUUUUAGUUUCAUAAUUAAAUUUUAGACAUUAAUAUAUUUUUGGAAGUUCAUACAAAAAUUAUAAAAUAUGGAAUAUGAAAUCCAAUUCUCCAAUACCAAAGGCGACAUAUUGGAUUAUGUCAAAUUGGUGAGGUCUUUAAAUUUUUUCAUAUUAUAAUAAAAUGAGGAUGAAUUUUAUUUUGUUAUAUUAUGCCAAAAUAAAUUUAUUCACAUUUAAUCUCUAUUUUAAUUUUAUAAAAACUUUUUUUAGUAACUAAAAAUAUUAUUUUUUUAUAAAAAAAUUAAAAUAAGGACUAAAAGUGAAUAAAAAAAUUUAAAGAAUAAAAAUUUGAAAUUUUUUAUAUAGAAAAUAAAAUUUAUUUUACUUUUUUAUUAUCAUUAAAAUUGAUUUUAUUUAUUUAUUAGAAUCUAAUUUUUAAUAUUAGAACGUGUUAAGACGACUUUGAUGAAAUUUUUAUCUUCUCUCCUAACUGAAGAAGGAUAUUAUUUGUUUAAUGUAAUAGAAUCGUAUCUUAAUUAAGAAACCUUGCAAAAUGUUAAGAAACCUUGCAAAAUGUUAAGAAACCUUGAAUGCCGCGUAGGGCAGGUCUGGGGUUUUUAUUUAUUUUUAUUAGACAUGGCUAAAGCUCAAAAGAAGACUACAAAGAAAAUAGCUUAUGACUAUAAACUCUCUUAACAUCAACAAACAGAUCACUAAGGGACUUCAUUGACAUUGACACACAACCUAGUUGUAGAAUCAAGUCGCUUUUCACUCCAAACAUUUAUUGAAUUUCCGCUACGCACAUUCCACGUCUCAAAUUGCAUGGAAGGCCAGACUUUAGCCACAUUGUAUUUAACCAAACAUUGUAUAAAAAAACAAGUAUUUGACCAAACAAGUUUGGUUCAAGAUGGGAAAAUAAUGAUUGAUUUUUCAAUUUUGGACCCAAAGAUCUCUGUCCAAUAUAGUUUAGUGGAA